AAUUCGAUUGAGUUUGAUCAUGGCUCAGGACGAACGCUGGCGGCGUGCUUAACACAUGCAAGUCGAGCGGAAAGGCCCUUCGGGGUACUCGAGCGGCGAACGGGUGAGUAACACGUGAGUAACCUGCCCCAGGCUUUGUGAUAACCCUCGGAAACGGGGGCUAAUACCGAAUAUUCAUUUCCGGCGGCAUCGUUGGUUGUGGAAAGUUUUUCGGCCUGGGAUGGGCUCGCGGCCUAUCAGCUUGUUGGUGGGGUGAUGGCCUACCAAGGCGACGACGGGUAGCCGGCCUGAGAGGGCGACCGGCCACACUGGGACUGAGACACGGCCCAGACUCCUACGGGAGGCAGCAGUGGGGAAUAUUGCACAAUGGGCGGAAGCCUGAUGCAGCGACGCCGCGUGAGGGAUGAGGGCCUUCGGGUUGUAAACCUCUUUCGACAG
This 438-nucleotide ribosomal RNA is filed under the name uncultured bacterium. RNAcentral describes it as "bacterial SSU rRNA". It matches the Rfam family "Bacterial small subunit ribosomal RNA", at positions 1 to 442 of the family's 1533-position model. The record is from RNAcentral.